AACGAACGCUGGCGGCAGGCCUAACACAUGCAAGUCGAACGCCCCGCAAGGGGAGUGGCAGGCGGGUGAGUAACGCGUAGGAACCUUCCCAGUGGUACGGAAUAACUGACCGAAAGGUUGGCUAAUACCGUAUACGCCCGAAAGGGGAAAGAUUUAUCGCCAUUGGAUGGGCCCGCGUCGGAUUAGCUAGUUGGUGAGGUAAUGGCUCACCAAGGCGACGAUCCGUAGCUGGUCUGAGAGGAUGAUCAGCCACACUGGGACUGAGACACGGCCCAGACUCCUACGGGAGGCAGCAGUGGGGAAUAUUGGACAAUGGGCGCAAGCCUGAUCCAGCCAUGCCGCGUGAGUGAUGAAGGUCUUCGGAUUGUAAAACUCUUUCGCCGGGGAAGAUAAUGACGGUACCCGGAGAAGAAGCUCCGGCUAACUUCGUGCCAGCCGCCGCGGUAA
Molecule: ribosomal RNA, 447 nt
Filed under: uncultured bacterium
Lineage: Bacteria
Description: partial 16S ribosomal RNA
Rfam family: Bacterial small subunit ribosomal RNA
Source: RNAcentral